This 21-nucleotide ribosomal RNA is filed under the name uncultured Tomentella. RNAcentral's name for it is "partial 18S ribosomal RNA". Lineage: Eukaryota; Fungi; Basidiomycota; Agaricomycetes; Thelephorales; Thelephoraceae. The record is from RNAcentral.
CUGCGGAAGGAUCAUUACUGA